ACGAUGAAUCUUCUAGCUUGCUAGAAGUGGAUUAGUGGCGCACGGGUGAGUAAUGCAUAGGUUAUGUGCCCUUUAGUCUGGGAUAGCCACUGGAAACGGUGAUUAAUACUGGAUACUCCCUACGGGGGAAAGUUUUUCGCUAAAGGAUCAGCCUAUGUCCUAUCAGCUUGUUGGUGAGGUAAUGGCUCACCAAGGCUAUGACGGGUAUCCGGCCUGAGAGGGUGAUCGGACACACUGGAACUGAGACACGGUCCAGACUCCUACGGGAGGCAGCAGUAGGGAAUAUUGCUCAAUGGGGGAAACCCUGAAGCAGCAACGCCGCGUGGAGGAUGAAGGUUUUAGGAUUGUAAACUCCUUUUGUUAGAGAAGAUUAUGACGGUAUCUAACGAAUAAGCACCGGCUAACUCCGUGCCAGCAGCCGCGGUAAUACGGAGGGUGCAAGCGUUACUCGGAAUCACUGGGCGUAAAGAGUGCGUAGGCGGGGUAAUAAGUCAGAUGUGAAAUCCUGUAGCUUAACUACAGAACUGCAUUUGAAACUGUUACUCUGGAGUGUGGGAGAGGUAGGUGGAAUUCUUGGUGUAGGGGUAAAAUCCGUAGAGAUCAAGAGGAAUACUCAUUGCGAAGGCGACCUGCUGGAACAUUACUGACGCUGAUGCACGAAAGCGUGGGGAGCAAACAGGAUUAGAUACCCUGGUAGUCCACGCCCUAAACGAUGGAUGCUAGUUGUUGCCUUGCUUGUCAGGGCAGUAAUGCAGCUAACGCAUUAAGCAUCCCGCCUGGGGAGUACGGUCGCAAGAUUAAAACUCAAAGGAAUAGACGGGGACCCGCACAAGCGGUGGAGCAUGUGGUUUAAUUC
This 856-nucleotide ribosomal RNA is filed under the name uncultured bacterium. Its description in RNAcentral is "bacterial SSU rRNA". It matches the Rfam family "Bacterial small subunit ribosomal RNA", at positions 66 to 952 of the family's 1533-position model. The record is from RNAcentral.